RNAcentral lists this unclassified non-coding RNA (263 nucleotides) under plant metagenome. RNAcentral describes it as "partial contains small subunit ribosomal RNA, internal transcribed spacer 1, and 5.8S ribosomal RNA". The record is from RNAcentral.
UUUCCGUAGGUGAACCUGCGGAAGGAUCAUUAUUGUAUAACCGAAGUGAGAGGGCUGUCGCUGAACCGGAAGGUCGUGCACACCCGAGUGCCCUCACAAACAUCCAUCUCACCCCUAUGUGCACCUCCGCAUGGGUCCCCCUUUGGCUUGUUCGGAGGGGGGCUUACGUUUUCACACAAACUUUGUAUGCAGUGUAGAAUGUAUUAUUUGUUUUUGCGAUCACGCAAUCACUACAACUUUCAACAACGGAUCUCUUGGCUCUC